RNAcentral lists this ribosomal RNA (406 nucleotides) under uncultured bacterium. Its description in RNAcentral is "partial 16S ribosomal RNA". It matches the Rfam family "Bacterial small subunit ribosomal RNA", at positions 30 to 526 of the family's 1533-position model. The record is from RNAcentral.
AUUGAACGCUGGCGGCAGGCCUAACACAUGCAAGUCGAACGAGUGGCGGACGGGUGAGUAAUGUCUGGGAAACUGCCUGAUGGAGGGGGAUAACUACUGGAAACGGUAGCUAAUACCGCAUACCAUCGGAUGUGCCCAGAUGGGAUUAGCUAGUAGGUGGGGUAAAGGCUCACCUAGGCGACGAUCCCUAGCUGGUCUGAGGGGCUGACACGCCCCACUGGAACUUGGCCACGGUCCCGCCUCCUACGGGAGGCAACAGUGGGGAAUAUUGCACAAUGGGCGCAAGCCUGAUGCAGCCAUGCCGCGUGGAUGAAAGAGGCCUUCGGGUUUUAAAGUACUUUCAGCGGGGAGGCGUUACCCGCAGAAGAAGCACCGGCUAACUCCGUGCCAGCAGCCGCGGUAAUUC